This 253-nucleotide ribosomal RNA is filed under the name uncultured bacterium. Its description in RNAcentral is "partial 16S ribosomal RNA". It matches the Rfam family "Bacterial small subunit ribosomal RNA", at positions 524 to 776 of the family's 1533-position model. The record is from RNAcentral.
UACGGGGGGGGCAAGCGUUGUUCGGAAUUACUGGGCGUAAAGGGCGCGUAGGCGGUUUGCUAAGUUGGAUGUGAAAACUCUGGGCUUAACCCAGAGCCUGCAUCCAAAACUGGCGAACUGGAGUACUGGAGGGGAAAGCGGAAUUCCUGGUGUAGCGGUGAAAUGCGUAGAUAUCAGGAGGAACACCGGUGGCGAAGGCGGCUCACUGGCCCGAUACUGACGCUGAGGUGCGAAAGCGUGGGGAGCAAACAGG